AUGGUGCUUGCACCUGAUUGACGAUGGAUCACCAGUGAGUGGCGGACGGGUGAGUAACACGUAGGUAACCUGCCCCGGAGCGGGGGAUAACAUUUGGAAACAGAUGCUAAUACCGCAUAACAACAAAAGCUGCAUGGUUUUUGUUUGAAAGAUGGCUUUGGCUAUCACUCUGGGAUGGACCCGCGGUGCAUUAGCUAGUUGGUAAGGUAACGGCUUACCAAGGCGAUGAUGCAUAGCCGAGUUGAGAGACUGAUCGGCCACAAUGGAACUGAGACACGGUCCAUACUCCUACGGGAGGCAGCAGUAGGGAAUCUUCCACAAUGGGCGCAAGCCUGAUGGAGCAACACCGCGUGAGUGAAGAAGGGUUUCGGCUCGUAAAGCUCUGUUGUUGGAGAAGAACGUGCGUGAGAGUAACUGUUCACGCAGUGACGGUAUCCAACCAGAAAGUCACGGCUAACUACGUGCCAGCAGCCGCGGUAAUACGUAGGUGGGAAGCGUUAUCCGGAUUUAUUGGGCGUAAAGCGAGCGCAGGCGGUUGCUUAGGUCUGAUGUGAAAGCCCUCGGCUUAACCGAAGAAGUGCAUCGGAAACCGGGCGACUUGAGUGCAGAAGAGGACAGUGGAACUCCAUGUGUAGCGGUGGAAUGCGUAGAUAUAUGGAAGAACACCAGUGGCGAAGGCGGCUGUCUGGUCUGCAACUGACGCUGAGGCUCGAAAGCAUGGGUAGCGAACAGGAUUAGAUACCCUGGUAGUCCAUGCCGUAAACGAUGAGUGCUAGGUGUUGGAGGGUUUUCGCCCUUCUGUGCCGGAGCUCCCGCUUUAAGCACUUCCCCCGGUGAAACGGUCGCCCAGUUA
RNAcentral lists this ribosomal RNA (853 nucleotides) under uncultured Bacillota bacterium. RNAcentral's name for it is "bacterial SSU rRNA". It matches the Rfam family "Bacterial small subunit ribosomal RNA", at positions 48 to 873 of the family's 1533-position model. The record is from RNAcentral. Lineage: Bacteria; Bacillati; Bacillota.